GGUUUGAUUAUGGCUCAGAUUGAACGCUAAAGGGAUGCCUUACACAUGCAAGUCGAACGGCAGCACGGACUUCGGUCUGGUGGCGAGUGGCGAACGGGUGAGUAAUGUAUCGGAACGUGCCCAGUAGCGGGGGAUAACUACGCGAAAGGUAGCUAAUACCGCAUACGGCCCUACGGGGGAAAGCAGGGGAUCGCAAGACCUGCACUAUUGGAGCGGCCGAUAUCGGAUUAGCUAGUUGGUGGGGUAACGGCUCACCAAGGCGACGAUCCGUAGCUGAAGUUUGAGAGGACGACCAGCCACACUGGGACUGAGACACGGCCCAGACUCCUACGGAGGCAUGCGCUUUCUAAGGUAGAAACUUGACAGGUCGAAACUCCCGAUCCAGCCAUCCCGCGUGCGAUGAAGGCCUUCGGGUUAGAAAGCACUUUGGCAGGAGAACGUCGUGGUGGUCAGGACGACUGCUGAACUGAGCGGCAUACCGAAUGAAAACUGUACAACACGUUAAAGCAGUAACAUGAAGUAAUCUAAAUUGCACUGAAUGGAGGCGUGGUACAGGCCUUGAAAGAGCACGAACCUGAUUUUGAACUUUGGAACUGCAUUUUUAACUACUGCCAGAGUGGUGUCAGAGAGGGAGGUGGGAAUUCCGCGUGUAGCAGUGAAAUGCGUAGAUAUGCGGAGGAACACCGAUGGCGAAGGCAGCCUCCUGGGAUAACACUGACGCUCAUGCACGAAAGCGUGGGGAGCAAACAGGAUUAGAUACUCCUGGUAUCUCACGCCUCAAACGAUGUCAACUAGCUGUUGGGGCCUUCGGGCUCGUAGCGCAGCUAACGCGUGAAGUUGACCGCCUGGGGAGUACGGUCGCAAAGAUUAAAACUCAAAGGAAUUGACGGGGACCCGCACAAGCGGUGGAUGAUGUGGAUUAAUUCGAUGGCAACGCGAAAACCUUACCUACCCUUGACAUGUCUGGAAUGCCGAAGAGAUUUGGCAGUGCUCGCAAGAGAACCGGAACACAGGUGCUGCAUAUUGCCGUCAGCUCGUGCUGUAGGAUGUUGGGUUAAGUCCCGCAACGAGCGCAACCCUUGUCAUUAGUUGCUACGAAAGGGCACUCUAAUGAGACUGCCGGUGACAAACCGGAGGAAGGUGGGGAUGACGUCAAGUCCUCAUGGCCCUUAGCGGGUAGGGCUUCACACGUCAUACAAUGGUCGGGACAGAGGGUCGCCAACCCGCGAGGGGGAGCCAAUCCCAGAAACCCGAUCGUAGUCCGGAUCGCAGCCUGCAACUCGACUGCGUGAAGCCGGAAUCGCUAGUAACGCGGAUCAGCAUGUCGCGGUGAAUACGUUCCCGGGCCUUGUACACACCGCCCGUCACACCAUGGGAGUGGGUUUUACCAGAAGUAGUUAGCCUAACCGCAAGGGGGGCGAUUACCAGGAAGAGAUUCAGACGGGGUGAAGUCGCAACAAGGUAG
RNAcentral lists this ribosomal RNA (1465 nucleotides) under uncultured Bordetella sp. RNAcentral's name for it is "partial 16S-23S ribosomal RNA intergenic spacer". It matches the Rfam family "Bacterial small subunit ribosomal RNA". The record is from RNAcentral. Lineage: Bacteria; Pseudomonadati; Pseudomonadota; Betaproteobacteria; Burkholderiales; Alcaligenaceae.